Molecule: ribosomal RNA, 1780 nt
Filed under: Caloglossa cf. ogasawaraensis
Lineage: Eukaryota; Rhodophyta; Florideophyceae; Ceramiales; Delesseriaceae
Description: SSU rRNA
Rfam family: Eukaryotic small subunit ribosomal RNA
Source: RNAcentral
AACCUGGUUGAUCCUGCCAGUGGUAUAUGCUUGUCUCUAGGACUAAGCCAUGCAAGUGCCAGUAUNAGUGCCUUAUACAACAAAACUGCGAAUGGCUCGGUAAAACAGCUAUAAUUUUUUCGGGGAUAAUACUACUCGGAUAACCGUAGUAAUUCUAGAGCUAAUACGUGCCACAAGACGGAGCAAUUUUUUGCUUCGUGGUACUAUUCAGANACACAAGCCAAUUUAUUGGUGAUUCAUGAAUAUUCGUCUGAUCGCACUUUUGUNUGUGNGACGCCCCGAUCAAAUUUCUGACCUAUCAACUAUGAUGGUAAGGUAGUGUCUUACCAUGGUUGUGACGGGUAACGGACCGNGGGUGCGGGAUUCCGGAGAGGGAGCCUGAGAAACGGCUACCACAUCCAAGGAAGGCAGCAGNNNNNNNNCUUACCCAAUCCGAACACCGGGAGGUAGUGACAAGAAAUAUCAAUAGAGGGCCCGAUGGGCUCUCUAAUUGGAAUGAGAACAAUGUAAAAACCUUAUCGAGGAUCCAGCAGAGGGCAAGUCUGGUGCCAGCAGCCGCGGUAAUUCCAGCUCUGUAAGCGUAUACCAAAGUUGUUGCAGUUAAAACGCUCGUAGUCGAACCUUGGCGGGUGACGCGGGCUGCCCGUGAGGGUGGCCUUGCGGCAAACGUCUUUGUGGAGGGGGGCUUUGUGGUGCUUUACUGCAUUGUGAAGUUCCUGCCACCGUUUACUGUGAAAAAAUCAGAGUGUUCAAAGCAAGCGAUUGCCCUGAAUACAUUAGCAUGGAAUAAUAGAAUAAGACCUGGUCUUGUUUUGAUUGGUUUGUAAAGCUCGGGUAAUGAUUAAAAGGGACGGUCGGGGGCAUUUGUAUUCCGGCGCUAGAGGUGAAAUUCUUGGAUUGCCGGAAGACAAACAGCUGCGAAAGCGUCUGCCAAGGACGUUUUCAUUGAUCAAGAACGAAAGUAAGGGGAUCGAAGACGAUCAGAUACCGUCGUAGUCUUUACUAUAAACGAUGAGGACUGGGGAUCGGACGUGGCAAUUUUUGGUACNUUCGGCACCCUCCGGGAAACCAAAGUAUUUGCUUUCUGGGGGGAGUAUGGUCGCAAGGCUGAAACUUAAAGGAAUUGACGGAAGGGCAUCACCGGGUGUGGAGCCUGCGGCUUAAUUUGACUCAACACGGGAAAACUUACCAGGUCCAGACAUAGUAAGGAUUGACAGAUUGAGAGCUCUUUCUUGAUUCUAUGGUUGGUGGUGCAUGGCCGUUCUUAGUUGGUGGAGUGAUCUGUCUGGUUAAUUCCGUUAACGAGCGAGACCUGGGCGUGCUAGCUGGGCGCUACUAGCGAUUACGUUAGUAAGGUAGCCCUCCUAGACGGACUCCAGGCGUCUAGUCUGUGGAAGCUCCAGGCAAUAACAGGUCUGAGAUGCCCUUAGAUGUUCUGGGCCGCACGCGUGCUACACUGAGUGGAUCAACGGGUGAGGUAGUGCGAAAGCGCGACCUAAUCUCUAAAUCCACUCGUGCUGGGGAUUGAGGNUUGCAAUUUUCCCUCAUGAACGAGGAAUACCUUGUAAGCGUGGGUCAUCAUCCCACGCUGAAUANGUCCCUGCCCUUUGUACACACCGCCCGUCGCUCCUACCGAUUGAGUGGUCCGGUGAGGCCUUGGGAGAGCUGCGCGGACUGUGAUUAUUCACGGACUGCAUGGUUCAAACUUGGUCAAACCUUAUCACUUAGAGGAAGGAGAAGUCGUAACAAGGUUUCCGUAGGUGAACCUGCAGAAGGAUCA